CUCUCUCUGCAGGGCUGGCCCCUGGCAAGGCCCAGGACAGGAAGGCCUACACGGUCCUCCUAUACGGAAACGGUCCAGGCUAUGUGCUCAAGGACGGCGCCCGGCCGGAUGUUACCGAGAGCGAGAGCGGGAGCCCCGAGUAUCGGCAGCAGUCAGCAGUGCCCCUGGACGAAGAGACCCACGCAGGCGAGGACGUGGCGGUGUUCGCGCGCGGCCCGCAGGCGCACCUGGUUCACGGCGUGCAGGAGCAGACCUUCAUAGCGCACGUCAUGGCCUUCGCCGCCUGCCUGGAGCCCUACACGGCCUGCGACCUGGCGCCCCCCGCCGGCACCACCGACGCCGCGCACCCGGGGCCGUCCGUGGUCCCCGCGUUGCUUCCUCUGCUGGCCGGGACCUUGCUGCUGCUGGGGACGGCCACUGCUCCCUGAGUGUCCCGUCCCUGGGGCUCCUGCUUCCCCAUCCCGGAGUUCCCCUGCUCCCCACCUCCUGUCGUCCUGCCCGGCCUCCAGCCCGAGUCGUCAUCCCCAGAGUCCCUAUACAGAGGUCCUGCCAUGGAACCUUCCCCUCCCCGUGCGCUCUGGGGACUGAGCCCAUAACACCAAACCUGCCCCUUGGCUGCUCUCGGACUCCCUACCCCAACCCCAGGGACUGCAGGUUGUGCCCAGUGGCUGCCUGCACCCCAGGAAAGGAGGGGGCUCAGGCCAUCCAGCCCCCACCUACAGCCCAGUGGGUACCAGGUAGGCUCCCUUCCUGGGGAAAAGAAGCACCCAGACCCCGCGCCCCGCUGAUCUUUGCUUCAGUCCUUGAAUCACUUGUGGGACUUGAGGACUCGGGAUCUUCAGGACGCCUGGAGAAGGGUGGUUUCCUGCCACCCUGCUGGCCAAGGAGGCUCCUGGGGUGGGGAUCACCAGGGGGAUUUUGACACAGCCUUCGGCUGCCCCCCACUAAGCUAAUUCCACACCCCUGUACCCCCCCCAAGGGGCCGUCUGCCUCAUGGCAAAGGCUUACCCCAAAUCACAACUUCUCAGAUGUUCCAUACCCCCAAAUGCCAAUUUCAGCACCCAACUGAGGUCCGAGGAGCUCCUGGGAAGCCCUGGGUGCAGGACAGUGGUCGAGAGCCAAAGGUCCCUCCCCAGACAUCUGGACACUGGGCAUAGAUUUCUCAAGAAGGAGGACUCCCCUGCCUCCCCAGGGCCUCUGCUCUCCUGGGAGACAAAGCAAUAAUAAAGUGUUUGUAA
RNAcentral lists this small RNA (1238 nucleotides) under Pan troglodytes (chimpanzee). RNAcentral describes it as "retained intron". The record is from RNAcentral. Lineage: Eukaryota; Metazoa; Chordata; Mammalia; Primates; Hominidae.